AGAACUAUUAUUGCGAAGAGUAGAAUGAUAGGGUAACGCCUUGAAAUGCUCUCUCAAAGUUACGAUUAGCAUAACAUUGAGUGAACAAUGGUGUGUUAAAAGCUCGUUAAAACGGACUAGGUAUUACCGUAAGAUGUGGUUAAACAAAUCACAACACGAAAAGCGAACUAGAGGUAGUCGAGUAAUAUAUGGUUCUAGAGUCCAUAAA
Molecule: non-coding RNA, 208 nt
Filed under: Turicibacter sanguinis
Lineage: Bacteria; Bacillati; Bacillota; Erysipelotrichia; Erysipelotrichales; Turicibacteraceae
Source: RNAcentral